RNAcentral lists this ribosomal RNA (691 nucleotides) under uncultured bacterium. RNAcentral describes it as "bacterial SSU rRNA". It matches the Rfam family "Bacterial small subunit ribosomal RNA", at positions 28 to 767 of the family's 1533-position model. The record is from RNAcentral.
AGCGAACGCUGGCGGCAGGCCUAACACAUGCAAGUCGAGCGCCCCGCAAGGGGAGCGGCAGACGGGAGAGUAACACGUGGGAACGUGCCCUUUGGUUCGGAACAACACAGGGAAACUUGUGCUAAUACCGGAUAAGCCCUUACGGGGAAAGAUUUAUUGCCAAAGGAGCGGCCCGCGUCUGAUUAGCUUGUUGGUGAGGUAACGGCUCACCAAGGCUACGAUCAGUAGCUGGUCUGAGAGGAUGAUCAGCCUCACUGGGACUGAGACACGGCCCAGACUCCUACGGGAGGCAGCAGUGGGGAAUAUUGGACAAUGGGCGCAAGCCUGAUCCAGCCAUGCCGCGUGGAUGAUGAAGGCCUUAGGGUUGUAAAGUCCUUUCGGCGGGGAAGAUAAUGACGGUACCCGCAGAAGAAGCCCCGGCUAACUUCGUGCCAGCAGCCGCGGUAAUACGAAGGGGGCUAGCGUUGCUCGGAAUCACUGGGCGUAAAGCGCACGUAGGCGGCUUUCUAAGUCAGAGGUGAAAUCCUGGAGCUCAACUCCAGAACUGCCUUUGAUACUGGAGAGCUUGAGUCCGGGAGAGGUGAGUGGAACUGCGAGUGUAGAGGUGAAAUUCGUAGAUAUUCGCAAGAACACCAGUGGCGAAGGCGGCUCACUGGCCCGGUACUGACGCUGAGGUGCGAAAGCGUGGGGA